USGGRSGGUAGCACAGRRAGCUUGYUCUCGGGUGACGAGUGGCGGACGGGUGAGUAAUGUCUGGGGAUCUGCCCGAUAGAGGGGGAUAACCACUGGAAACGGUGGCUAAUACCGCAUAACGUCGCAAGACCAAAGAGGGGGACCUUCGGGCCUCUCACUAUCGGAUGAACCCAGAUGGGAUUAGCUAGUAGGCGGGGUAACGGCCCACCUAGGCGACGAUCCCUAGCUGGUCUGAGAGGAUGACCAGCCACACUGGAACUGAGACACGGUCCAGACUCCUACGGGAGGCAGCAGUGGGGAAUAUUGCACAAUGGGCGCAAGCCUGAUGCAGCCAUGCCGCGUGUAUGAAGAARGCSUUCKGGUUKUAAARUAYUUU
Molecule: ribosomal RNA, 376 nt
Filed under: Pantoea sp.
Lineage: Bacteria; Pseudomonadati; Pseudomonadota; Gammaproteobacteria; Enterobacterales; Erwiniaceae
Description: partial 16S ribosomal RNA
Source: RNAcentral